GACGAACGCUGGCGGCGUGCUUAACACAUGCAAGUCGAACGGAAAGGCGCUGCUUUUGUGGGGUUCUCGAGUGGCGAACGGGUGAGUAACACGUGUGUAUCCCGUUCUUGUCUUUGGGUUAACUUCAGGCAACUGGGGCUAAUAUCGGAUAGGAGCUCCUGCUGCAUGUUGUGGGUUGGAUAGUUUCGGUGGUUGGAGAUGUACUGGCGGCUUAUCAGCUUGUUGGUGUGGUAGUGGCUUACCCAGGCUUUGUUGGGUAGCCGGCCUGAGAGGGUGAACAGCCACAUUGGUACUGAGGUAGGGGCCAGACUGCAAAGUGCGGCAGCAGGGGAGAAUAUUGCACAAGGGGGGGAAGUCUGAUGCAACAAUGCUGCGUUCGUGAUGACGGCCUACGGGGUGUAAACCGCUUUCGCCUUUGAUGAAGCCUAAGUGACGGUAAUGGAUAAAGAAGCACCGGCUAACUACGUG
RNAcentral lists this ribosomal RNA (468 nucleotides) under uncultured bacterium. RNAcentral describes it as "partial 16S ribosomal RNA". It matches the Rfam family "Bacterial small subunit ribosomal RNA", at positions 28 to 507 of the family's 1533-position model. The record is from RNAcentral.